AUUGAACGCUGGCGGCAGGCUUAACACAUGCAAGUCGAGCGGUAGAAAGUAGCUUGCUACUUUUGAGAGCGGCGGACGGGUGAGUAAUGCGUGGGAAUCUACCUGGGUAGUGGGGGACAACAGUUGGAAACGACUGUUAAUACCGCAUACGCCCUACGGGGGAAAGCGGGGGAUCUUCGGACCUCGUGCUAUCAGAUGAGCCCGCGUGAGAUUAGCUAGUUGGUGGGGUAAAGGCCUACCAAGGCGACGAUCUCUAGCUGGUCUGAGAGGAUGAUCAGCCACACUGGGACUGAGACACGGCCCAGACUCCUACGGGAGGCAGCAGUGGGGAAUAUUGGACAAUGGGCGCAAGCCUGAUCCAGCCAUGCCGCGUGUGUGAGAAGGCCUCGGGUGUAAAGCACUUUCAGCGAGGAGGAAAGGUUGUAGCUUAAUACGCUGCAGCUGUGACGUUACUCGCAGAAGAAGCACCGGCUAACUCCGUG
This 482-nucleotide ribosomal RNA is filed under the name uncultured bacterium. RNAcentral describes it as "bacterial SSU rRNA". It matches the Rfam family "Bacterial small subunit ribosomal RNA", at positions 30 to 507 of the family's 1533-position model. The record is from RNAcentral.